This is a long non-coding RNA of Strigops habroptila (Kakapo), 2331 nucleotides long. RefSeq lists it as uncharacterized. The transcript has 5 exons. NCBI's taxonomy places the organism in Eukaryota, Metazoa, Chordata, Aves, Psittaciformes, Psittacidae. The record is from RefSeq and is a predicted model, not a curated record.
CCAUUGCUCCGAGCCCUCCCGAGGUUAUUCCAGUGCCAGAAGAGCUGUUGGAUUCUGUCAGGAUGACACCAUUAUUAGACAUGCUAAGACUUUCCUCCAUCCAUAACUACGCAGCUGCUUCUGUAAUUAUGAGAAAUGUGAGUUUCUGGUGUGUCCUGGACAGACUGAGCUCAGUCGCUAUUUGAGCUCCCAGUCCUGGAGCCUGAGUGGAUGGCACAGCUGUGCAUUAACAGCUUGUCUUGUGUCGAGCAAGUGUUAAACCAAGCUGCGAGGCUCUCCUCUGAAUUACUCACAUCAAGAGCCAUUACCUCGAGGUGAACAGUGAAAACUUUGAUGGUGAUUAAAGCGUGACCGUCAUAAGGACCUAGUUAGAAAUCUUGCUGUAAUUGUGAAUUUCAGCUUCGUAAGAAAACAUCUUGGCAAACGACAUUGCAGAGAGAAGAACACAGUAGAAAUUGAAAGAAAGGAAGUUUUAUUCAGCUGUGAGCUGAUUGGAGGUCGUGUGAAGGUCUGACUGAUGCAGGGAUUAGUACUUACAUGAACCUGUUUGCCACCUAUGAACAAAUUUAACCAAAAUACCUAGUGUAGGUAACCUUAAUUUAUGAUAAUAAAAUACGAACUUCCAAGCAUAUUUGCAUCACUUAUGUGGACUGCAAGUGGGACAGUAAAUUUUUCCUUGUAAUAGUAUGAAAUCGAUGACACAAAAUCAUCAUUAAGAAGACAGGUUUCAGAAAAGUAAUGUUUUGGAGUCGGUGCUGUCUUCUUUAUUGCUGAGGACUCUGGAAUUAACGCUGUUGGAGCUCUGCUGCAAAGGAAAAGAAUGAGGUGUAUUUCACCUGAAUGAUUGCUUCAGAGGUUUGCAGCAGAAUAAAUUCCAGCAUGAGAAGAGUUGAGUUAGAAGGGACCUACAAUGAUCACCUAGCCUAACUGCCUGACCACUUCUAAUCGAAUCUCAAGGUUAUUUCAAGGACUAUGGCACUAGCGAAGUGUGAAGAAAGAGGAAAGCUGCAGUUCUUGGCAGUGUGAUCCCUCCCGAGCUGCCACAUCGCAACAGCCAUGCCACAAGGGAUUCCUGGCAGAUGGAAGACCACAGCUUGUGAUGUUCAGCAGCCACUGAGGUAUACCACAGGAUAAUGAAAAACAUGAGGCAUGGUGUGAAGCUACAUCCUUGAUCUUGUCUGAGAGCUGCUGCUGGGACUGGACCCAAUGCCUCUGUCCAAAGCUGCUUUCCACUGCAUCUAGUCAUUAGACAUGCUCAGGAUAUGUCCAUUGGAUCAACAAGCAGAUGUGACCCACUCUGAGACUCUAAUCUCUGACAAAAAGGAAACAGCAAUACAUGUUUUGGGGCAGGGGACAACUAUUUCAACAAUAUUUCACACUCAGAUUGUACAAGUUGUGCCCUGCUGGAACUGCUAAUGAAUCAGGAGUGCUGUAGUGAAAAUGGAGCGUAAGACAUUCAUAAAUCUUCUUUUUAAAGCACCUAUGGCAGUGUUGGCAGAUAUUAUCUCAAUAAUUCACGAAUUCCUGUUCUAUUACAGGAGAUGUGCUUUUAUAUUGUGGGGUUUGAUUUUUUUGACUGAAAAACUGUACCUAAAAUCUCAGUCAAAUAUCUUUUGCUGCAGAAGUGUCUACACCAGGUUUUUACUGAAUGUAUUACUACAGAUGGAUAAAGGAGGAAGAAAAGAACCCAUUACUUUCUUUUGCAGGUGGAAGUUCCCUUGAAAUUCUCCUUGCCAGCAGCAGCUUCUCAAAUGAUCAGAAGUAGCUACAGAUCAGACAUCUAAGAACUGCAAAAGGUUAACUCCUGCCACGGCAAUUAGGCAAAAGAGAAUGUAUGAGGGCACAUUCCUUGAUCCUCCAAGGACCAUAACACAGAGGAAAACAAGAGCAAGCUCUUCUGGCCAUGUUUGGUCAAAUUAUGUCAGCUCUGCUGGUCAGGUGGGACUGUACUGCUACAGUUUGAAAUCACAGAGCACUCCUUAUUACAGACUAGGAAGGCAAGAUGUGUUUCUCUCUGAACUGCUCCACUGAGCUAAGGUGGCAUGAACCCCAGCUUACCUGAGUCUAAGUGCCAGGGGUCAGUAGCGGCCGACAUUGGUGGGAUGGUGAGUGGAGAUGCUCCGCAGUUGGAUUCCACCAGUUCUCCUUGGAUGUGGACGUGAGAGGAGACGUUGGUAGGUCUCAGAGCUGCUUUGAGUGGAGCAAUCUGGUUGAACUGUACUCUCGACAGGCAGCCAGUAAAUCCUGGGGUGUUGUAUUUAUAUAUAUCUUGGUCAAUCUUCCCAAUUUCUAUGCGAAAUUAAGGAGAAAAAAUAAAAUAAGUCAAAACAA